CUACGGGUCGCAGCAGUGGGGAAUAUUGGGCAAUGGGCGCAAGCCUGACCCAGCUAUGCCGCGUGAAUGAUGAAGGCCUUAGGGUUGUAAAGUUCUUUUAGAUGGGACGAUAAUGACGGUACCAUCAGAAAAAGCUCCGGCUAACUUCGUGCCAGCAGCCGCGGUAAUACGAAGGGAGCAAGCGUUGCUCGGAUUUAUUGGGCGUAAAGGGUGUGUAGGCGGUUUUGUAAGUUAGAUGUGAAAGCCCCGGGCUUAACCCGGGAACUGCAUUUAAGACUGCAUUACUUGAAGUUCGAAGAGGUUAGCAGAAUUCCCAGUGUAGAGGUGAAAUUCGUAGAUAUUGGGAAGAAUACCAAUGGCGUAGGCAGCUAACUGGUCGAUACUUGACGCUGAGGCACGAAAGCGUGGGGAGCAAACAGGAUUAGAUACCCGCGUAGUC
Molecule: ribosomal RNA, 439 nt
Filed under: uncultured bacterium
Lineage: Bacteria
Description: partial 16S ribosomal RNA
Rfam family: Bacterial small subunit ribosomal RNA
Source: RNAcentral